AUGAAGGAAGCGUCAGCGACGACCUCAGGCGAGAGGCAUGUAAUGCAGGUAAUACUAGAGCUUCCAGCCUCCUCAGGCUGGCGUGGGAACAUCAGUAAGGGCUUGGAGCCUGUCAAAGAGGAGGCAAAGAGGACACUGCUGAUGAAACAUGAGGCCGAGACAAAAACAAAUGCCUAUUGGCUCAGUUUGCUAACCCAUAUGCAGUCUGCAUUCGUGCCGAGAAAGCGGCAACUAGGAGCUGCCGCGUGGGAACUACGUGUUCGAGGAGCAGGUCAUGUGCCUGGUGCUAGACGUGAUGGCAUGGGAUCAGACCAUCAUUACCAACUACCAGCAACAGAACGCGCAAGUCGUCUACGGCCUCGGCAUGACGUGUUGCCCUUUGCGCCAGCGUAG
This 393-nucleotide ribosomal RNA is filed under the name Triticum aestivum (bread wheat). Its description in RNAcentral is "partial small subunit ribosomal RNA". The record is from RNAcentral. Lineage: Eukaryota; Viridiplantae; Streptophyta; Magnoliopsida; Poales; Poaceae.